Molecule: ribosomal RNA, 224 nt
Filed under: Salmonella enterica subsp. enterica serovar Infantis
Lineage: Bacteria; Pseudomonadati; Pseudomonadota; Gammaproteobacteria; Enterobacterales; Enterobacteriaceae
Also listed under: 4 other names
Description: partial 23S ribosomal RNA
Rfam family: Bacterial large subunit ribosomal RNA
Source: RNAcentral
GGGUUGUGAGGUUAAGCGACUAAGCGUACACGGUGGAUGCCCUGGCAGUCAGAGGCGAUGAAGGACGUGCUAAUCUGCGAUAAGCGCCGGUAAGGUGAUAUGAACCGUUAUAACCGGCGAUUUCCGAAUGGGGAAACCCAGUGUGACUCGUCACACUAUCAUUAACUGAAUCCAUAGGUUAAUGAGGCGAACCGGGGGAACUGAAACAUCUAAGUACCCCGAGG